This 621-nucleotide unclassified non-coding RNA is filed under the name Hevea brasiliensis (rubber tree). Lineage: Eukaryota; Viridiplantae; Streptophyta; Magnoliopsida; Malpighiales; Euphorbiaceae. The record is from RNAcentral.
CUUCAAUCUGCAGUACUUGCCUUUUGCAUCACAAGAUUUACAUGUUGGACUGGACCAAUUCAAUUGAAGAAUGUUCUCCUGGUACUCCCUACUAAGAAGGGACCAAUAUGCAACUUCUGAAUAGUCAUGUAUCUUAGUGCAAUAUAAUAGGUUGGCAUCAUAAAUGCCGACGUAUGAUACAAUAGCAACGACAUCAUAGUGUAGACCGCUGAGGCAAGGGAUCCGCCAUAUGUAAUUAAUCCAAACAUCCAGUUUCCUUGAAGGGCAUUUGAAUAAGGUGAUGUUCCACCUUUCAUUCAUUAACUCGAAGGGAGAAACAGAUGCAUUCAAGUUUAAAAUAAGCCGUCUUGGAAGGCAACCUCCUGAAUCAUUUGCAUAAAUCACUUGAGACUUAUAAUCAAUUUCUUGGACGAAAAGUUUCCAUGAAUUUGGAAGCUCCAGCACAGUAUCAUUCUUCUCCGAGCAAGAAAGAUGAAACCCAGGCUGAGGAUAGCCACAGUGGAGUGGCUGCUUGCCUCUGAUUCGGAAGGGAAAUCGAACAGGGGGCCCGAAGCUCCCACAAGAUGACGUAUUGCAAUCAUUGAAGCCUAAUCCAUCAUCUACAAGGAAUAUAAUGAACCA